ACAGCGGGGCCUGCAGAUGCUUUCUGCUGCCAGAGCUGGGACUGUACAGGCCACUGGGAGGCAGGAUGUGGGCCUGAAGAGCUUGGCUGCAGAAACUUCGGGGUCUACAAACGCCGGCGGGAGCUGAGCCAAAAGAGCUUGCUUGCUGGGAGGCAGGAGCUGGGCCGAGAGAUGCAGCCAGGAGGAACAGCUGGGCCUGCAGAGGCCGCCAUGCGGGAGGCAGGAUGUGGGCCUGAAGAGCUUGGCUGCAGAAACUUCGGGGUCUACAAACGCCGGCGGGAGCUGAGCCAAAAGAGCUUGCUUGCUGGGAGGCAGGGGGUGGGCCGGGAGAUGCAGCCGGGAGGAACAGCUGGGCCUGCAGAGGCCGCCAUGCGGGAGGCAGAGGCCAGGCCUCUCCAGACCCACUUGCAACCUCCCGGCGUCCUCUCCGGGCCCAGCUCUUCCUCCCGGCUGCGUCUCUAGGCCCGACUCCGGCCUCCCAACAACCUCUUUGGACUCAGCUCCUGCCCAGCUCCCAGUGGCCCUGGUAGGCCCACAACUUCCUGAAGCCAAGCUCCCCAGGCCCAGGUCAGGCCUCACGGUGGCCUCGCCAGGCUCAGCUCCUGCCCUCCGAUGGCAUCUCCAGGUCCCAAACGGCCUCCGGUCGGUGGGCUCCUCUAGGCCCAGCUUGGGCCUCCCGGCGGCCUCUGCAGGCCCAAAUCGUCCUGAAGUCGGCCUCUCCAGGUCCAGCUCCAGCCUCCCGGCAGCCUCUGCAGGCCUAAGUUGUCCUCAAGUCGGCCUGGAAGUGGGCCUGGAAGAGCUGCAAGUUGGCCUCCCUGGGCCCAGCUCCGUCCUCUUGGCCUCUCCAGGUGCAAAACUUCCUCGAGUCAGCCUCUCCAGGCCCAGCUCCUCCUGCCUCCCAGUGGCCUCUUUUGGCCCAGCCCAGCUCAUGGCUCUCAGCAGCCUUCCCAGGCCCCGCUUUUGACUUUUGGUGGCCUCUUCAGGCCCAGAACUUGACCUCCAGUCGGCCUUUGCAGGCCCGGCUUCCUGCCUCUCGAAGGCCUGCACGGGCCCAGCCUCAGCCUCACAGCGGACUCUCCACGCCCAGCUAGCUCUCGCCUCACUGCGGCCUCCCCAGUCGAAAGCUCCUGCCUUUCGGCCGCUUUGGCAGGCCCAGCUCCUGCCUGCCAGUGGCCUCUUUAGGCCCAGCUCAUUCCUCACAACGGCCUUUCCAGGCCCCGUUUUUCCCUUCCGGCAGCCUUUUGGCCUCUAAUUUGUUUAUCUUUUGUGUAUAAAUCCCAAAAUAUGGAAUUUUGGAAUAUUGCUACCAUUAUAUAAAUAUUUUCGUAUGUAAUUUAUUUGGAGUGAGUUUCUGCACCAAGCCUGAAUUUUUUAUUUUAUUUUCCUUAUUAUUUGGUGUUAAACAGGUUUAAUGACGGUCAUGGCAACUUUUUGGCACAAUGAAAAAUACCACCCA
Molecule: long non-coding RNA, 1456 nt
Filed under: Homo sapiens (human)
Lineage: Eukaryota; Metazoa; Chordata; Mammalia; Primates; Hominidae
Description: HSALNT0122226
Source: RNAcentral